GUAAGUUAAUUAGGGAUUAAUUAAGAAUUUUUUGGGUUAAUUAGACACUAACAGAGGCGGCAGCUAGGAGAGGUAAAAUGGUCAUUUAAUUUUUUUUAGAGUUGGUAUAAAUAGCAAAAGUCAAAGAAAAGUCUUCAUUCUCAUAUUUUAUUUUUUUUCUCCCUGACAUUUUUCUCUCUAGCUUGGCCGAACUUCCCACUCUUUCUCUCUGAUUUUUUUCACAAAAUUUCUCACAUAACUCUCUCAAUCUCUCAUCUCUACUCAUUUCCAAACACUAUCCCAUGUCCCUUUGUAGUUUCUGAGAGCUAGAAGAAGAAGCUUUAAAGGAGAAAAAUUUAAAAGGUUAGAGACUUGUUCAAGGGCUAGAGGUGUAGAGGCAAACCAAAACCCACCCAAGAGACUACAAGUUACAGUAUUGGCUAACAAGACAGGACGAUCUAGGGGAGUAUUUGCCCACACGCAGCAAGGAUAACCUGUAAUGGCAAAGAAAAACUAGGACAGUGAGCGCCGGGGUCUGCUUGCGAUGAUGUACAUGUGGUCUGACCUCUGGGAGUCUGCACCUUUGAAAUGUUGUUUUUAAUUAUGUUUAAACUAUUUUGGUUCAUUGCAAGACUUUUAAGUUUAAGAUGUAAAUAUUUUUGUAUGUGCACACAUUAUGUUUAAAAGUUUUUUUUAUAUAGA
This is a long non-coding RNA of Humulus lupulus (European hop), 681 nucleotides long. RefSeq lists it as uncharacterized. NCBI's taxonomy places the organism in Eukaryota, Viridiplantae, Streptophyta, Magnoliopsida, Rosales, Cannabaceae. The transcript is spliced from 4 exons. The record is from RefSeq and is a predicted model, not a curated record.